RNAcentral lists this ribosomal RNA (921 nucleotides) under Clavaria sp. RNAcentral describes it as "LSU rRNA". It matches the Rfam family "Eukaryotic large subunit ribosomal RNA", at positions 72 to 931 of the family's 3401-position model. The record is from RNAcentral. Lineage: Eukaryota; Fungi; Basidiomycota; Agaricomycetes; Agaricales; Clavariaceae.
GGAUUCCCCUAGUAACUGCGAGUGAAGAGGGAAGAGCUCAAAUUUAAAAUCUGGCGGGUCUUGCAUCUGCUCGAGUUGUAGUCUAGAGAAGUGUUAUCCGCGCCAGGGUCUGUGUAUAAGUUUCUKGGAACAGAACAUCAUAGANGGGUGAUAAUCCCGUCUUUGGCACAGACUUUUGACUGGGGCUUUUGUGAUGCACACUCGAAGAGUCGAGUUGUUUGGGAAUGCAGCUCUAAAUGGGUGGUAAAUUCCAUCUAAAGCUAAAUAUUGGCGAGAGACCGAUAGCGAACAAGUACCGCGAGGGAAAGAUGAAAAGAACUUUGAAAAGAGAGUUAAACAGUACGUGAAAUUGUUGAAAGGGAAACGCUUGAAGUCAGAUACAUUAUUGCAGAGAUCAACUUGACAUGUAUUUGUUGAGUGCAUUCUCUGUUUGAGAUGGGUCAGCAUCAAUCUUGACUGCUGGAUAAAGAUCUUGGGAAAGUGACAUCCUUCGGGAUGUGUUAUAGACCAGGGUUUCUGAUAUACAGUGGUUNGGGAUUGAGGAACUCAGCAUGAGCCCCUUUNGGGUUGUGGGGGCANUUUCNUUUGCCUACACNUUUUGCAUGCUUAGGAUGCUGGCAUAAUGGCNUUUAAUCGACCCGUCUUGAAACACGGACCAAGGAGUCUAACGUGCCUGCGAGUAUUUGGGUGGAAAACCCUUAUGCGCAAUGAAAGUGAAAAGUUGAGAUCUCUGUCAUGGAGAGCAUCGACGCCCGGACCAAAGCCUUUGUGCGAUGGCUCUGCGGUAGAGCAUGUAUGUUGGGACCCGAAAGAUGGUGAACUAUGCCUGAAUAGGGUGAAGCCAGAGGAAACUCUGGUGGAAGCUCGUAGCGAUUCUGACGUGCAAAUCGAUCGUCGAAUUUGGGUAUAGGGGCGAAAGAC